RNAcentral lists this long non-coding RNA (5042 nucleotides) under Gossypium barbadense (sea-island cotton). RNAcentral describes it as "long non-coding RNA (GBAR_LNC021319)". Lineage: Eukaryota; Viridiplantae; Streptophyta; Magnoliopsida; Malvales; Malvaceae. The record is from RNAcentral.
UAAAGGCUCUUAUGGAUAUCCAUAGCGUAAUCGACCAUGUUUGUCUUGUUCAAAAGCUCAAUCUUUGCUUUCAAGAUCUGUUCAUCUGGGUAUAGUUGUCGCUCUUGCAAGAACUCCAGCAAUGGAAACACUAAGUGCCUGUCUAGGUUCGGGCCGAUACGUGGGGUUAGAUCGUAAGUAGCCAUUGCCAGGGUUUACUCUGGUUUCUGGUUUCGUGCUUUUUGUUUGAUAUAAACAAAUUUAUACUAUAUAUAUUCCUUCUCCACUCCCUUAAUUCAACUGGAGUUAAGAGUUAAAAUAUAGUUUUAAAUUUAUUUUUUAUUUUCGAAUUAAAUAUAAUAAGUUGUUUUUACAAAAAGAAAAAUACAAACGAGUUUAAAAUAAUAUUUAUCAAUAUUAUUUAUAAUAAUUACUAGAUAAUUGUUGGUCAUGCUUAAGUAAUUAAGCAUGAUUCUAAUAUAUUUUAUACUUGUUUAAAUCUAUUUUGAUCUUAAAUAUAUGUUUAAAAUUUCGUUUAAGUCACAUAUUGUCUGUAUUCCUCCCCAUCCUUCUUUGGGUACAAACAAUAUUAUUUGGGCACGCACGAUUUUAGGUUUUUUUUUGUCCAUAAUGCCUUUUGGUUUUUUUAAAAAAAGUUUUUGGAACCCAUAGCUGAAAAUACCAGGGGCCACAAAGAGUUAAUUUUUUUCUUACUAGCCUUCAAGCAAAGACUUUGUCUAAUAUGGAGUGAACUAGGAGGAACUGAUCAUAAUAUCUCACGUCUUGUUUGUAGCCAUGAAACAGAAGACAUGCUCUAUGUGCUUUAAGAUUGUUCGACAACAAAGGAAGUUUGGUUACAGGUAAUAUCUUUUGAUAAAUAACAAUGUUUCUUCUCUAGGUCUCUUCCGGAAUGGUUGACUUCAAAUCUUGCCUAUCACGUCCUAUUACCUAGAAAGGGGUAAUUUGACCUUGUCUAUUCGGUUUGAUUGCAUGGCGCAUUUGGAAAAAUAGGGACCUAUUCAUCUUUCAAGACAUCACUUUGAUGACUUUUGAUACUAUCAAGGUCUAGUUCAGUUGGGUGCAACAGUUUGAGUUAAGUCACAAAGGCCAUCAGGUGGACAUACUUGUCCACUAACGAAGCAGUAGGUAGUGGUGAUGGCAAUGCUUCCGUUAAAGGUGUUCUGCAGGACCAACAUGAGAACUGGAUAUUGGGGUUUAAUGACUACUUAGAGAGAUGCUCAAUUUUUAAAGCUGAGUUACGGGGAAUUUUAGAUGGCCUAUUAGUAUUGCUUAGCAAAGGAUUCAGAAAGGCCACGAUUCAGUCUAAGGUGGUUAAGUUGGUUAACAAAUUCUGGUAUUACAAUGUUUAAAAGGAUCCCGAGAAUUUUAUGAGCUAAAGGACAAUAGAGCACUAGACACGUGCUUAGAGAACCCAAUCAUGCUGCUGAUUAUUUGACUAACAUGAAUUUACUCAAGCCUUCACGUCUUUGAUGAUACCCCAAAUGAAAUUCUAAAGAUUAUACAACAAGACAAAGAUAAUAAAGUUUUUGUUAAUCUCGUGUUGAUGCAGUUCAGUUUUUUAUUUAAACACUAAAAAACAAAUUUCGUUUAAGUGUACCCAUAUUUGUAACAUAUUUGUAAAUGGAUCAUUAUUAUUUUUAAGAGAGAGAUCCACUUACAUAUUAUUAUUUUUAGUAACACAUUUAAAUCCAAAGUUCUCAACACAACGCUAUACUUUUAAUAACUCGGUACAAGCAUUUAAAAAAUUUCUUGACAUAAGUUGAAAGAGCAGAAUACAAUUUGGAUUUAGAUAAUGAUUUAUCAGUCUUGUUCCUACUCAAAAACUAAAAUCACUGUUAAAUUUGUCUGAAAGAAAUAAACAAUCAGCAAAUAGCUCAAAAUUGCAUAUAAAUUCAAGAGCUUCCUCGUCCAACUUAACAUGCAGGCUGCGCUUGUGCGGGUUCGAGAAGCUGGCCGACUAGCUUGUAGGUCCGCCCUUGAAGGGCCUUAGUGUGGUCGAUUAGCUGCUCGUAACUGCAGAAAUCCAGUAUCGAAAUUGGAAGUCAUUAAGAGAAGAGGAACAAACAAAUGUAGUUAUGGAAAGAACAUAGUAUGAAAGAUGCACAAUACAAAGAACAAGGAAAUCUUACACAUUAGGUUGAUUAGGCUCCAUAAUAACAGUUCCAGUCUCUGAAUCAAUCUUUGCCUCAAGUUUCGAGUUUCGGAUGAGAUUCACAAUCCACCUCUCACCCUCCUCGUAAUUUAAGUUCAGUUUCUCAAAAAGCACCCUUGAAACACAUACAAAAUCCAUUUAAUGUAGGAUCAAAAUCUAAGACAAGCAAUUAAAACAACAUAAUCUCAUAAGUAAAAGCAUAUCUUGAAAGAGUUAAGAAGACAAAUGGGAAGUAAUCACUAUAAUAAGAGAUACUCGAGUCCAUGUUACUCAGAUUUGGGUGAGUUUCAGAUACCGGUAUGUUUAAUUGUUUUCUAAGUUUUUCCAUGUAUUGAAGGAUCAUAUCUUCAUAACCGCAAGACAAAUACUUCAAGAAAAAUGAACAGUCAGGAAAUGCAUAGAUAAUAGCAAACCAAAGGUUUAUGUUGUGAUGUUUUGUGAUCUGUGCACGUGCCUGCUCUGCAGACGAAAACAUGCAUUACAUCUGUUUUGAUUUAAUAUUUUGUACAAAAUUUCAUCAAUCCUUAACAUGCAAUUAGCCAAAAAGAAUUCAUAACUCAGUGCAAUGUUAUGGGAAACCCAGCAUGCAAAGCAGACUGUGAGCCUAUCGACAAUUAAACAUUCAAAUGGAAGUCAUUCCGUGUCAUUUACUCAUAAGAAGAAGUCAAUUAUACACAUAAGAAGCUAAUUAUAUAAGUUUGACAAAGCAGGAGCUUACCCCAUAUCAAUGCGCUGAUGAAUUCUGCAGUAUGUCUCGAAGAUAAAUAAACGAGCAUUCUCAAGAAACUCAUCUUUUAAUGGGACAGUAGAAAAGUUGCCCUCUUCAACUCUUUUUCCAAGGAAGGGAUCAUUCAGUAUCACCUACAACAAAGACGGGAAAACUAAGGGUGUAAUAGAUAGAUCCUACAAUUCCAAUAUCAAACAAAAGCUAAAGGCAACCAAAACAGAUGACAAAACUUCAAGCUAAAACAUUGGACAAAUUUAUGGUAUAAGAUAGUACAAUCUAACUUACUUCUUCGCACUCCUUCAUCUUCUUCUGUGCUCCGUCAAAUUCAUAGUUGACAUAAACACAUGCCAAAAACUCCGUGAUGGGAUCUUUGUAAGAGCACUGAUCUUGCUGGAUAACCCUGAUAAAUUCUUUGAAUUGAGGUCUUCUCCUUUUGUUGACAAUAAAAGCAGUGGCUAAGUACCUUAGAAGAUGGGGAGCACUGGUUUGAAUGGCGUUUAGAUACCUGGAAAGAAGUGAAAUCACCUCGUAAGAUGAGACAAAUACACAAAGUUGGUUAAUAUAAACCCAGAGAAAAUAAUGCGUUAACCAAUGGAAAAAAGCAGUAAAAACAUCUAAAUUCAAACACAAUUUUAUGUUUAGUUCUAACAACAAUCCCCCUUAUGAAACAAAAUUCCAAACUAAGCAGUAUGGCGAACAUAUCACCUACUUUAGCCUCAAAUCUUUGAACAAACAUUUUGCAAAUUACAUGGCAGGCUGUGCGUUAACUUUUCAUAUUAGAAAAACCAUGCAAACGAUAGAAGAAAUCCACAAAGUUUCUAAACAUGUUCCAUUCCAACACAAUCAAAACCGAAGCAUGUGAACACAGCAGGAUCUUGAAACAGAAGUAAGUAAUGGCAUAAAAAGACAGGAAAAUGCACAAAGAACAAAUAAGCACAGAUGUGACUACCACACAAAUGAUGCAACUAACAACAUCAGUAACAAGACAUGGAAACCUUAAGUUUAGUUGUUAAAGUGACAUACUUGUCUUGAUUAAAUAGGUCGAUGAUCUGUGUUCUUCCAUUGUCAUGGUUGAAAAAGAUGAAGAGGCUCCAAUGCAUAAGCCAUAUUCUACUCUGAACUUGGUUCAAAGGUGAUGAGAAGCUCUGCAGCAAAAAGACCAAUAAAUGAGUCAACGAAUAAUCGGAAAGCAAAUUGUCAAAAUAAAAACCGAAUAAUCAAUGGGGAUAUAACCAAAACCUUGGAAUCGAUUAUUUCUUUCAAACGAUUAAGUUCUUCAAGAGCAAUAUCCCAGUUUUGCAUCAGUAUCUCGGCAGCAAGCUUCCCCCACAAUGCACUCAAGCUCCUUUCGCUGUUAGUACAUAAAGCCCGAUACUGAUACAGAUAGUCAGCAGCACCAGAGUAGUUGCCACACUCAAAUUGGAAUUUUGCAUACUGAUAUAAUGCCUCUAUUUGAUCUGGACCAAUCUGUUAAAAAAAUAAUUUUAUCCACCAUUAAAUUAAAAAAAAACUUUAAUUAAUUCAAACCCAGGCAAAAUCAAAACUUUAACAACAAAGAGCAUGCUAGAAUUUUAGCACAAGAAAGCCUAUGCAUCUAUUUGGUUAUUCUUUAUAUUUUCCUUAAAAAUCACAGAAUGUUAUGACUAAUACAAAUUCACACUUGAAUGGGUUACUCACUAAAAAUCAAGAAGGGGUUAAAAUAACAUAAAAAUAACCUUAAAUUCAUCAAAAGGGGAGGGGGAACAGACCUGGUAGCGGUCAUUAAGCAUCUGGAGAUUAUACUGUUUAUCAGCACGCAGUUCCUGAACAGCGUUAGGGUUUUGCAAGAAAGUGACAAGAGGAGCGGCGGCAUCUUCCAAAGCUUUGAGACGAGCGACAACCUCGACUCUCCUAUCGACCAUGUCCUGAGGAACAUCAUCGGUGCGGUAAAGGCUCUUAUGGAUAUCCAUAGCGUAAUCGACCAUAUUUGUCUUGUUCAAAAGCUCGAUCUUUGCUUUCAAGAUCUGUUCAUCUGGGUAUAGUUGUCGCUCUUGCAAGAACUCCAGCAAUGGAAACACUAAGUGCCUGUCUAGGUUCGGGCCGAUACGCGGGGUUAGAUCGUAAGUUGCCAUUGCCGCCGACAGUGUUCUUAGGGUUUGUUCUGGUUUGUGACUUUUUUGUUUG